CUGCCCCACUCCUCCGCCUUGCACGAUUACACUCUUGCUGCCUUUUGGUUCAACGCUGUUCCCCCAUUACAGGUAAACACGCAGCCAGAGCACUCUUGCCUGGCACAAAACUAUAGUCCCCCACCCUUCGUCUCGUAUUUCUCCCUCAGCACCACCCAUCCAGAAGUUCAAGAUGUCCGUUGUCGGCACUCUUAGCACGUACAUGGCCGCGACCGACUCACGCGACAAGAUGAUCAAGGGCGCCGGGUGCUUCUUCAAGAUGAUGGGCGCCCUUUACGGCAACCCCAACUUCAUGAAGACAGGCGCGGCCAUGUCCGAUGCACGCUGCUUGAUACGCAUGCUGUCGUGGCUCAGUAACGUGCAGAAGAUCAGUGACGCAAUGGAGAAGCGCAUUGUACAGCCGCGCGACGUUCUGUUUGUGCUGCGGGUGCUGUUCGACGGCAUCUUCAGCCUCCUCGACAACAUCGUGUUCGCCGGGCGCUUCUUCAACCCCAAUUCGCCAAGCCUGUCACAGCUGUCGUAUGUCUCGCGUGCAGCCCUCUUCUACGGCUAUGCCAUGGCUGUAGUGCUCGACAUUUAUGACCUCGUGCGGGAUCCGACAAUGCCGAAGCGCGGUGACCGCUGCCUGGUGCUGACGCGCAACGCCUGCGAUAUGGUUUCAGCCAUCGGCAAUGUGUGCACUGUGGACAUCGGUGGGGCCAAUGUCGCUGGACUGGGUCUCAUCAGCGCCAUUAUCGCGACCCGUGAGCAGCUCCUGGCGGCGGCCGCCAAAUCUGGUGGCAACACCAUCGGCGCUAUCCCAGCGAGGGCGGCUGCGCAGCAGCCAAAGAAGUGAGGGUUCUCUUCGUUUCAACGCAUGCCCGGCGGUAGGGUGUGCUCGGCUGCUUUUUUUUUCCGUUUCUCUUUUCCGUCCAUCCGUAGGCUUCGUUCUGAACACCAGUGCUGGGCGCACUCCGUCACUGCGCUUCCCCCCUCCCCCACUCUCUUACAACCUCCAACGCUUUUUUCAUUUGCCUGUUUUACUCUUUUUUUGAUUUUGUUGUAUACACAUGCACGAAUAG
This 1061-nucleotide unclassified non-coding RNA is filed under the name Leishmania donovani. RNAcentral describes it as "gene:LdHU3.24.0160(CDS-product:glycosomal_membran e_like_protein)". Lineage: Eukaryota; Euglenozoa; Kinetoplastea; Trypanosomatida; Trypanosomatidae. The record is from RNAcentral.